UCGGCAAAGGAUAUCUCGGCUCUUGCAUCGAUGAAGAACGUAGCGAAAUGCGAUACUUGGUGUGAAUUGCAGAAUCCCGUGAACCAUCGAGUCUUUGAACGCAAGUUGCGCCCGAAGCCAUUAGGCCGAGGGCACGCCUGCCUGGGUGUCA
RNAcentral lists this ribosomal RNA (151 nucleotides) under Cullen corylifolium. RNAcentral describes it as "partial 5.8S ribosomal RNA". It matches the Rfam family "5.8S ribosomal RNA". From Rfam's summary of the family: 5.8S ribosomal RNA (5.8S rRNA) is a component of the large subunit of the eukaryotic ribosome. It is transcribed by RNA polymerase I as part of the 45S precursor that also contains 18S and 28S rRNA. Functionally, it is thought that 5.8S rRNA may be involved in ribosome translocation. The record is from RNAcentral. Lineage: Eukaryota; Viridiplantae; Streptophyta; Magnoliopsida; Fabales; Fabaceae.